GAUGAACGCUGGCGGCGUGCCUAAUACAUGCAAGUCGAGCGAACGGACGAGAAGCUUGCUUCUCUGAUGUUAGCGGCGGACGGGUGAGUAACACGUGGAUAACCUACCUAUAAGACUGGGAUAACUUCGGGAAACCGGAGCUAAUACCGGAUAAUAUUUUGAACCGCAUGGUUCAAAAGUGAAAGACGGUCUUGCUGUCACUUAUAGAUGGAUCCGCGCUGCAUUAGCUAGUUGGUAAGGUAACGGCUUACCAAGGCAACGAUGCAUAGCCGACCUGAGAGGGUGAUCGGCCACACUGGAACUGAGACACGGUCCAGACUCCUACGGGAGGCAGCAGUAGGGAAUCUUCCGCAGUGGGCGAAAGCCUGACGGAGCAACGCCGCGUGAGUGAUGAAGGUCUUCGGAUCGUAAAACUCUGUUAUUAGGGAAGAACAUAUGGUAAGUAACUGUGCACAUCUUGACGGUACCUAAUCAGAAAGCCACGGCUAACUACGUG
This 496-nucleotide ribosomal RNA is filed under the name uncultured bacterium. RNAcentral's name for it is "partial 16S ribosomal RNA". It matches the Rfam family "Bacterial small subunit ribosomal RNA", at positions 28 to 507 of the family's 1533-position model. The record is from RNAcentral.